This 546-nucleotide ribosomal RNA is filed under the name Triticum aestivum (bread wheat). RNAcentral's name for it is "partial small subunit ribosomal RNA". The record is from RNAcentral. Lineage: Eukaryota; Viridiplantae; Streptophyta; Magnoliopsida; Poales; Poaceae.
AUGAAAAUUAUCUCCCGGAUCUUGAACACACGACUGCAGAAAUUUAUUGAGCUCUUGGUGUCCUUUGAACAAUCUAGGUUUAUUGCCGGGAGGUGCAUCGCUGAUAAUUUCUUGUAUGCGGCGGAUUUGGUCCAGAGCUGUCGAAUUCGGAAGAAGCCGACGAUUGCCCUUAAAUUGGAUUUCAAGAAAGCCUUCGAUUCUGUCAGCUGGGAUGCUUUGGGUAUAAUCAUGCGGGCGCGCGGAUUUGGCGAUCGUUGGUGCUCUUGGAUCCAUAAUAUCCUUACCACCCGCAAAACGGCAGUAUUGUUGAACGGGGUCCCCGGCAGAUGGAUACAGUGUAAAAAGGGACUGCGGCAAGGGGACCCAAUGUCACCCUACCUCUUCUUAAUAGUUGCGGACCUCCUCCACCAACUGAUUUUCAAGGAUGACUCCCCUGACCGGCUACUGCAUCCUCUGGUAGAUGAUCUGCCCUGUCCUGUUGUUCAGUACGCCGACGAUACCCUCCUGUUGGUCCGUGCUGAUCAGAGGCAGCUUUCUCGGCUAUGA